Molecule: ribosomal RNA, 542 nt
Filed under: uncultured bacterium
Lineage: Bacteria
Description: bacterial SSU rRNA
Rfam family: Bacterial small subunit ribosomal RNA
Source: RNAcentral
UGGGGAAUCUUGGACAAUGGGGGCAACCCUGAUCCAGCCAUGCCGCGUGUGUGAAGAAGGCCCUAGGGUUGUAAAGCACUUUCAAUUGGGAAGAAAAGCUGUACGUUAAUAGCGUGCAGCCCUGACAUUACCUUUAGAAGAAGCACCGGCUAACUCCGUGCCAGCAGCCGCGGUAAUACGGAGGGUGCGAGCGUUAAUCGGAAUUACUGGGCGUAAAGCGCGCGUAGGCGGUUGUUUAAGUCGGAUGUGAAAGCCCCGGGCUUAACCUGGGAACUGCAUUCGAUACUGGCCGACUAGAGUACGAGAGAGGGAGGUAGAAUUCCACGUGUAGCGGUGAAAUGCGUAGAUAUGUGGAGGAAUACCGGUGGCGAAGGCGGCUCACUGGCUCGAUACUGACGCUGAGGUGCGAAAAGUGUGGGGAGCAAAACAGGAUUAGAUACCCUGGUAGUCCACACCGUAAACGAUGAAUGCCAGUCGUCGGGUAGCAUGCUAUCGGUGACAGCACCUAACGGAUUAAGCAUUCCGCCUGGGAGUACGGUCGC